This 502-nucleotide ribosomal RNA is filed under the name uncultured bacterium. Its description in RNAcentral is "partial 16S ribosomal RNA". It matches the Rfam family "Bacterial small subunit ribosomal RNA", at positions 28 to 523 of the family's 1533-position model. The record is from RNAcentral.
GAUGAACGCUAGCGAUAGGCUUAACACAUGCAAGUCGAGGGGCAUCGAGGAAUAGCAAUAUUUUGUCGGCGACCGGCGCCCGGGUGAGCAACACGUAUGCAAUCUACCCAUAACUGGGGAAUAACCCGUCGAAAGGCGGACUAAUACCGCAUAACAAGGAUGACCCGCAUGGACUGUUAUUUACAGCUUUAUCGGUUAUGGAUGGUCAUGCGUUCCAUUAGGUAGUUGGCGGGCCAACGGCACACCAAGCCAUCGAUGGAUAGGGGUUCAGAGAGGAAGGUCCCCCACAGUGAUACUGAGACACGGACCGGACUCCUACGGGAGGCAGCAGUGAGGAAAAUUGGUCAAUGGGCGAGAGCCUGAACCAGCCAAAUCGCGUGAAGGAUGAAGGUAUUAUGUAUUGUAAACUUCUUUUAUAGGGGAAUAAAGUGCACCACGUGUGGUGUUUUGUAUGUACCCUAGGAAUAAGGAUCGGCUAACUCCGUGCCAGCCGCCGCCGUAA